UUGGCCUCAAAUCAGGUAGGACUACCCGCUGAACUUAAGCAUAUCAAUAAGCGGAGGAAAAGAAACUAACAAGGAUUCCCCUAGUAACUGCGAGUGAAGCGGGAAAAGCUCAAAUUUAAAAUCUGGCGGCGUAUUGCU
This 138-nucleotide ribosomal RNA is filed under the name Amanita magniverrucata. Its description in RNAcentral is "partial 28S ribosomal RNA". It matches the Rfam family "Eukaryotic large subunit ribosomal RNA", at positions 1 to 138 of the family's 3401-position model. The record is from RNAcentral. Lineage: Eukaryota; Fungi; Basidiomycota; Agaricomycetes; Agaricales; Amanitaceae.